Mauremys reevesii (Reeves's turtle) is the source of this 709-nucleotide long non-coding RNA. RefSeq lists it as uncharacterized. The record is from RefSeq and is a predicted model, not a curated record. Lineage: Eukaryota; Metazoa; Chordata; Testudines; Geoemydidae. The transcript is spliced from 3 exons.
GGACCUUUGGAAGAGGCUCCAGCUGAAGAGCUGCCACAGCCUUUGACUGCAGGAGCUGGAGAUCCUGAGAUUAGGACUGGAGAUCUGUGGCCAAAGGAUCUCCAGGGAGUAUUGUAUUAGUGCAACCUGAAUGGCUAAGGUCUGUGCAAGCCUAGCCAAAAGUCUUCAAAACAUACCAAAGAUAAUAGAUAAGAAGUAAUGCAAAGAACUGGUGAAACCUUCAACCCUAGUAGAUAUAAAGGCAAAGGGCAGCUCACAUAUUGAGAACUCUGACCACCUGCACCGCUUCCUCCUGGACCGAUGGACACCAGGCAUGGGAGUUUUGAGCAAAGCAUGGAGACACAGAAGCAGAUCUGUGACUGGAUACAGGAUUUUUGAAACAGCAGCUAGGAUGGUUGUUCAAAGGAAUACACAGAAGGAUAUAAAGUAAUCCCAUUUGCUGUGCAUUCUUACAGUAUGCCUCAGUGGUCAACAGUGGACUGUUCUGCACUGUUAUGAAAGCCUUCAAGUGAACACCAGAGAGAGCGACCAACCCUAUAUAAUCAACUCCAAAAAAUUUCAGGCAAUUGCUGUGAAUCUGAUUGGCAGCUUGCACAGUCUCUUACAAUUUUGAAACUGUUCUUGUCAAGUUCCUACAAUUAAAACCAAGCAUAGGUUACACUUAUACUGGAAUUAAACACAAGCACUGAUGUACAGAGUCAAAUUUGCC